Non-coding RNA from Periconia digitata, 138 nucleotides. Lineage: Eukaryota; Fungi; Ascomycota; Dothideomycetes; Pleosporales; Periconiaceae. The record is from the annotation of a GenBank genome assembly.
CUCCUCUUGGUGUAGUUGGUUCAUCACGUUCGACUGUAAUUGCUUCUGUAAUCGAAAGGGUAAGUUUCAAUGCACUCUAGUAUUCCAACACCAAAACUAACAACAACACAGUCCCUGGUUCGAUUCCGGGAGAGGAGA